Molecule: transfer RNA, 72 nt
Filed under: Bos taurus (domestic cattle)
Lineage: Eukaryota; Metazoa; Chordata; Mammalia; Artiodactyla; Bovidae
Also listed under: 3 other names
Rfam family: tRNA
About the family: Transfer RNA (tRNA) molecules are approximately 80 nucleotides in length. Their secondary structure includes four short double-helical elements and three loops (D, anti-codon, and T loops). Further hydrogen bonds mediate the characteristic L-shaped molecular structure. tRNAs have two regions of fundamental functional importance: the anti-codon, which is responsible for specific mRNA codon recognition, and the 3' end, to which the tRNAs corresponding amino acid is attached (by aminoacyl-tRNA synthetases). tRNAs cope with the degeneracy of the genetic code in two manners: having more than one tRNA (with a specific anti-codon) for a particular amino acid; and 'wobble' base-pairing, i.e. permitting non-standard base-pairing at the 3rd anti-codon position.
Source: Rfam by way of RNAcentral
UCCCUGGUGGCUCAGAGGUUAAAGCGUCUGCCUGCAUUGUAGGAGACCUGGGUUCGAUCCCUGGGUUGGGAA